AGAGUUUGAUCCUGGCUCAGGAUGAACGCUAGCUACAGGCUUAACACAUGCAAGUCGAGCGGAACUACUUCGGUAGUUUAGCGGCAGACGGGUGAGUAACACGUAUCCAACCUUUCCCUCACUCGGGUAUAGCCUCGGGAAACUGAGAGUAAUCCCCGAUGAAGUGUACGAGGAGCAUUUUUUGCACACCAAAGAUUAAUCGGUGAGGGGUGGGGAUGCGUUCCAUUAGCUGGUAGCGGGGCAACGGCCCACCUAGGCGAUGAUGGAUAGGGGUUCUGAGAGGAAGGUCCCCCACACUGGAACUGAGACACGGUCCAGACUCCUACGGGAGGCAGCAGUGAGGAAUAUUGGUCAAUGGGCGCAAGCCUGAACCAGCCAUGCCGCGUGAAGGAAUGAGGCCCUAUGGGUCGUAAACUUCUUUUGUGGUGGAGCAAUAAGGCGUACGUGUACGCCGAUGAGAGUACAUCACGAAUAAGCAUCGGCUAACUCCGUGCC
RNAcentral lists this ribosomal RNA (495 nucleotides) under uncultured organism. RNAcentral describes it as "SSU rRNA". It matches the Rfam family "Bacterial small subunit ribosomal RNA", at positions 8 to 509 of the family's 1533-position model. The record is from RNAcentral.